This is a long non-coding RNA of Daphnia pulex (common water flea), 1052 nucleotides long. RefSeq lists it as uncharacterized. The record is from RefSeq and is a predicted model, not a curated record. Lineage: Eukaryota; Metazoa; Arthropoda; Branchiopoda; Diplostraca; Daphniidae. The transcript has 3 exons.
CUACAGAGAUGUGCAAAGUUAACAUAAGUAAACUGAUUCUGACAGGUAAAAAUGAUCAAAGGCUAUGCCGUCUAGCGUCAGAAAGAAGAAACGUUUAAAAGUAAACAUGAAAAAAUGUCUGCUGUAGCUCGGUGACACUCAAUUUAAAGAACUGACAAACAAAGGUAACAAAAAACUUUGAUACUCACGUAACAUUCUCCCUGCCAAAUUUCACCACGCAGCAUCACAACAGACGAAAUUCCAAGGUGAUGAUGGACGCCAGUCCAACUUCUACACACUUCAACAACCACACAACUUCACCAGUCCAACUUCUACACUGAAGACAAGGCAGUAAUAAUGGUUCAUGUGCCUUGUCUGCAAGCAAUUCCAGAUGUUUCAGCACCUGGGCUACAGUGCUUGGACAGUGCCUGCCAGUUAUUCAGAAUGCUUUUCUAUUCACCGUAGCAUACUACAAGGCAACGGCAAAUGUUGAGUAAAUCUCAAAAAUGAUAGUGAAGAUGAAAAAUUCUUUCCACACUACCCUAUCUGACAACAUCAUUAUGUAACUGGCUCAUUCGAUCCUCACUCUAGGAACUGGACAUCUAAUUAAAUUAAUAAUCACCCCUUUAGCUUUCUUCCUGUAAUUCUGCACUUUGUCUUACUUGUGAUCUUUCUUUUUUCUGUAGGUUACAAUGGCCAUUGAUAAUUGGAGAGCAGCAUUGGAAUGUGACAGGUUGUCUAGGCUAAAAGCCCUAGGGAAACUUCGUCUGCUCCUAAGUUACACAGUACACAACUACACAUCAUAAGUUACUUUACAAAAUAAAAACAAAUUCAGAUUAGGAUUUCAAGAAGAUUUCAGCUGAAGUUGACCUAGGUGCAGCCUUAGAGCUUGUGUAAACAGAGAUCAAACGGACAAUCCAAUAAUGCAAGCUGUCUUCCCUAAACUAAAUGGUCUGCAUUUGCAAGAAAAUUGCAUGACAACAUUGAAAGAUUGUGGUGAGUUGAUUUUGAUUAAGUUUAAAUUUAGGGAAAUGUAAGAUUGAUAGAUUUGAGGUAUUAAGGUGUAUAAUGAC